AAUUUUAAUCAACGGGUACAUAGUUAGUGUACUCCGUAAAGACUGUGCAAUGUCUCUCCAGAAGCACACUAAGACAAGGCGCUUCUAGAAGACGCUUGGAAGACGAUGGAAGGAGGUGGAAAGUGGAUGGAAGGAGUUGGCAUCCCAUCCCUGUGCAUGCUUAUCGUGCAACACAGUUGACGAGUCGUUGCGAGAAAAUAAACCUCUACAUACAUACACAGGAAAAUAUCCGCAUAAGCCCCACAGCGAUGACCCACCCGCAUGGAAAGGGAUACGGUCCAGCGCAUCAUUAGCUGGGGAUGAUGAGAAAACAAGUGCGAGGAUAACAGUAACAGUAAC
Molecule: small RNA, 339 nt
Filed under: Histoplasma capsulatum var. duboisii H88
Lineage: Eukaryota; Fungi; Ascomycota; Eurotiomycetes; Onygenales; Ajellomycetaceae
Description: Histoplasma capsulatum H88 hypothetical RNA
Source: RNAcentral